RNAcentral lists this long non-coding RNA (4533 nucleotides) under Homo sapiens (human). RNAcentral's name for it is "non-protein coding lnc-TRAPPC6B-3:1". Lineage: Eukaryota; Metazoa; Chordata; Mammalia; Primates; Hominidae. The record is from RNAcentral.
GCUCUGCCCCCGACAUCGUGGUGAGAGGGGAACCUUCCUCAUAUCUGGGCGCUGGCCUCUCCGGGCUUGGGAGAGAGGAACUCAGUGAUCAUAGAGCUGGCCGAAUGCCGGGGUAGAGGGGACCGGAAGUUGUUUUUUUCGCCCCCGCCCAGCGGCCGGAUCGCAUCUCAGCUGGUUGGCUUUGGUUAGAGCUCCCGUCAGACUUUAGUUCGGCCCUAGGAUUUGGUAGCCCCGAAGUGUGGGCUCUCUCCAGUACCAGACUCAUUUCAGUACCAGCCUUUGGGAAGUCGUGUGAAUACCUCGGUCUCUUAGCCACAGGGAUAGAAUGGCGGCCUGACGGAGCCGCGGCGCCGGCGAAGUCGCUGAGGCGCGAGCUGGAACCCCCAGACCAGCUCAAACGGGAGCCAAAACUCGAAGCUUGGAAGAAUUAGCAGGAAAUGGCGGAUGAGGCGUUGUUUUUGCUUCUCCAUAACGAGAUGGUGUCUGGAGUGUACAAGUCCGCGGAGCAGGGGGAGGUGGAAAACGGACGAUGUAUUACUAAGCUGGAAAACAUGGGGUUUCGAGUGGGACAAGGAUUGAUAGAAAGGUGAGCAGGUUGGAUUUGAAAAUUUUCUUGCAGGUAGGUUAUAAACAAAGGUGAUCUAUUUCAAAAGAUUGCAUAAAACUUGGGAUAUUUUAAUUUUAAUUCCUGAAUGUUAUUCUCUUUACUUCAAAAAUUAAAAUUUCUUUUUAGAUCCAAUGCCAUUUAACUCAUUUAUUCAAAUUUUAUUUUAAUGUUUAAAGAAAAUAUAUAUUUUAUAUAUUUUAGACUUUCUUCCUGAAGCUAUUUUAGACUUUAUUCCUGAAGCUAUUGAAGCAACUAUCUAAAAUCUUACUGCAUUUUCAACUUAAGAUCUGCUAGGUUCUUUAACCUGCAUAGAAUUUUUAAGUACAUAGGUUUGAAAUAACUAUAGUCUAUGUUUAUGCGUGUAAUUAUCUUUGAACUUAUAAAUCAGUUCUUUUUAGUAUUUCUUUCUCACUACCUGAAUAGUUAAACUCGGAGUAUAUUUUAUAUAACAAUGUCAUGAUAAUGCUCAGCUCUUUGUUCUUUUGUGGUUUUUUGAUGUGCUAGAAUGCAUUGCACCUGAAAUUUUGGCUAUAAUGUUAGACUAAUUUGAGGCCUCAUAAUUUAUAUAACAUAAUGUGAAUCCAUUGAGAUAGGAUCAUGUUACCUGGUGCUUAUGACUUUAUUAGUGUUAAUAAAUGUUCAGCCAGGUGUGGUGGCUCAUGCCUGUAAUCCCAGCACUUUGUGAGGCCAAGGUGGGAGAAUCUCUUGAGCUCAGGAGUUUGAGACCAGCCAGGGUAACAAAGUGGAACCCUGUCUCUACAAAGAUAUACAGAUUAGCUGAGCAUGGUGACAUGUGCCUGUGGUCUCAGCUGCUAGGGAGGCUGAGGUGGGAGGAUAGCUUGAGCCUGGGAGGGAGGUAGACGUUGCAAUGAGCCGAGAUUAUGCUAUUGCACUCUAACCUGGGCGACAGAGCCAGAAUCUGUCUCAAAAAAAAAAUUAAAAUUAAAAAACCCAAUAAAUGUUCAGUGCUGUUCUGGCAUUUGGAAAUUAGUUAAUAAUUAGUCCCUCUUGCUUUUUUUGGAGGAGAAAUACUGUAUUACUUCUAGUUGAUCUUUUUAGGUUUACAAAAGAUACUGCAAGGUUCAAGGAUGAGUUAGAUAUCAUGAAGUUCAUUUGUAAAGAUUUUUGGACUACGGUAUUCAAGAAACAAAUCGACAAUCUAAGGACAAAUCAUCAGGGCAUCUAUGUACUUCAGGACAACAAAUUUCGCCUGCUUACUCAGAUGUCUGCAGGAAAACAGUAUUUAGAACAUGCAUCUAAGUAUUUAGCAUUUACGUGUGGCUUAAUCAGAGGUGGCUUAUCAAACUUGGGAAUAAAAAGUAUUGUAACAGCUGAAGUGUCUUCAAUGCCUGCUUGCAAAUUUCAGGUGAUGAUACAGAAGCUGUAGAACAUACUGAAAUGCAAGGCUUCAACAGUGUAAAGAGAUAAAUUAUUCAUGUAAAAGUAUUUCAAGUAGUGAUGAUUUAAUUACAUUGUUCGAUGUUUGUACAGGAGUAAGCAUGUAUUUUUAUCAAUUUAACACAGAUCAAAGGAGAUGAAGGGACAUUCUGCCAUGACAUACACUUAACCAAAACUAUUCAAAAUGAAAACCGGAUUUCAAAUAACCAGACACCAAGAUGCAGGGCCCUUAUUUUAAACCUUUUUAUUUGGUUAGAGUGAUAUGUAUUUAGCCAUAGAUGGAGAAACAAAGCUCAGGGUUUGUUGAAUUAGCAUGAGAGAAAAUUAUGUACCAACAGAAUUAUUUGUGAGAAGAAUGAACAAAUUUUGAUAAAGUAUGAAUUUGUUUUAUUUUAAAAAGCAAACAUACUAAAUUUUUUUUAUUUUAUUGCUUAUAAUUUAUUAAGAAUGUUUACACCUGUAUAAGGAUUUCAUAUAUACAUUGUAUGUGUGUAUAUAUAAAUACAUAUAUGACUGCCUAAAUUGUUUAUAAAUUUAAUUUUUCUUUAAUAGGUUUCAUUCCUUCAGAGCUCCAUUAAUGUAAUCAAAAUGAAAUAUAGAUUAGUUUAAAUGUGAAUUCAGUGACUCUAGGGCCAAAGAAUAUUAGGUAUGUUUGGAAAGAAUUUUUGUAUUUAUUCCUGUUACAGUUUUGACUUUCAACUUCUCUCCCCGUGCAUGGAAGUCCUGGUAAAGGAUCUAACAUCUUUAUUCCCUUCUUUCCUCUUCCAGCUGAGCAGAGUUGGAUAAUUGAAUUAGUCAUUCUGACAUUCUUUGGACCAUAUCAUCUUAGUGGUUUGGGGUCAGUGCUCAUCUGAUAUAUCUUUCUUACCACCUCUUCUACUUACUUUCUCUUACUUAAAUUAUCUGGCAUAAGCAGUUAUCUCCAGCUUUUGUUAGAAUCUUGCAUGUUGAUUACUAAAACUAUACUUUGUUUCCCAUUUAUUUAUUACCCUUUUGCAUGUAUUUGUGUGACAGGGAACUCUGCAGCAGGGGGUGACUGACACACCAAACAAGAUGUUUCACUGGGUACUCUGCCAUAGAAAUGGCAGAUUAAGAAGAUUGACUAUACCAAACAUUAUAUUAAAAACACAAAAUAAAAACUAUAAAAAUGUACUUUAGGACAUUAAAGAAAACUCAAGUUAGAAGCAUACCAUUUUCCUUUCAUGGAAGGGUACAGUAUUACAAAGAUAAUUUGUUUAACUUGAUUUAUUAAAUUCUAGUUAUGUGCCCUAUAAUGAUGUUUCAGUCAGUGACAGACCUCAUAUAUGGCAGUGGUUCCAUAAGAUUACAAUACUGUAUUUUUACUGUACCUUCUUUAUGUUUAGAUAUGCAAGUACUUACCAUUGUGUUACAGUGUCCUACAGUAUUCACUACAAUAAUAUGCUGUACAGGUUUGUAGCCUAGGAGCAAUAGGCCAUAGCUUAGGUGUAUAGUAGAUCAUACCAUCUAGGUUUGUGUAAGUACACUCUGUGAUUGUACAAUUUUAAAAUCUCCUAAUGAUGAUGCAUUUCUCAGAAUGUAUCCCCUUUGCUAAGCAAUGCAUGACUGCAAUCCUAAUUCUCACAUGUUUUGGGGAAAAAAUUUUAAUUUUGAAAAAAUUUAGGAAAGUUCCUACCAAAUAUACAUGUAUAAAGUUUAUUAAAAGUCAUAAUGACCCAGGAAUAGCUAAUGACACAGAAGUAGAUCAAAAUAGAACACAAUAGAGAACUUCAAAAUAAAACAGGUGUGAGAAUUGUGUGUGUGAAAAAGCUGGGUUCAAAUAAGUUGGUUUGUUAGACAUUCAUAUGCCUACCCAUCAGCCAUUUCGUUCUCCCUUCCUUGCUGACAAAGCCCCAUUUUUUUUUUCUUUUUUUUUGGCCUAAAACUCUGUAUGGCUGCCUUGUGCUAUAGAAUAGGGUGCUUCCCUAGCCUAGAGAGGGUGAGUGUUGAUUAGAUUCUGUGCCAAUCAUGGUAAUUGGCUUACUUGAUCAUUUGAUGGAAUCUAGGCUAACGAGACAAAGGAAGUCUGAAGGCUUUGAAUAAGAAAUUUUCUGUUGCUCUUAACAAUUGAUACAAGUUAGGGAUUUGCCAGCAUCCCUCUUCUGCUUCUCAGUGAAGAUAUGUGAUAUGGAUGUUUGAAGCUAAUCUGCAACAGCCUUCUGAUGGCCAUGAAAGGACAAGUAUGGAGAUGAAAGCUAUCACACUGAGAAUAGUGGGAUGUAGAUAGAAAGCACCUGAAUUGUGCUUCUGAAUUAACCAAUCCAGGAACUGCUUUACCUUUGGACUUUUUGUUAUGUGAGAUAUUCUUUAUAUUGUUCCAUUUGCUUUGGGUAUAUGUAUAUUGUUACUUGUAGCCAAAAAGAAACCUCUCUUAGUAGAAACAAAGGGAGAGUUAGGUUAUUCAAAAAUUAGUAUGGGACAAUUGAAUAUGCCUUUUUCUGCGGGAGUAGGUGGGGAGAAACUUAAAGGUUCACUUGUAAAACAAUAAAGUACUAAAGAAAAUGUGAUAA